Molecule: long non-coding RNA, 1178 nt
Organism: Bombus terrestris (buff-tailed bumblebee)
Lineage: Eukaryota; Metazoa; Arthropoda; Insecta; Hymenoptera; Apidae
Exons: 5
Source: RefSeq, a predicted model, not a curated record
UCACUGUUGUCAGCUGUCACUUACGCGUCGUGAGAAAUUUACUUUCGAUGGUUUAAUAAGCGAAGAUCUUUUCAUAGCUAUUGAUUUUAUCAUCUUUGACGAUCGAGUCAAAUUUGAAUAUAUCAGACGAAUUGUUUGCACGGUCGUAACUGUGCUAUUUAUAUUGAUGUUAUAGAAUGAAAAAUGGAUUCGCAUGUUCUGCAUUUUUUCACUAUAAUCGCAGACCACCUGCAAACCUUUUUGGUACGGGCUCUCGGCUAAAGAUUGUGCAAGUUUCAUCGCCUCGAUGCAAUGCUUCCGCGCCAAAAAUUUCGUUUGGUCCAGGCCCUGCGACUUGUGCACCAGCUCGAACGCUUUCUCCACGUCUCCUGGCUCUUGAAAUCGGCGCAUGAUCAUCGCGUUCAAUUCUGGAUACUGUGACAGAAAAACGAAGGCGAAAAGAACUGGAGCAGUUGCAAGACCUAACUUCAAAUCUGCUGCGGUAGGUUUGCCCAUUGUUGACAAAGACGACACGAAAUCCAAAAGAUCGUCGACUAAUUGAAAUGCUAAACCGAUGUUCCUACCGUAUUGGAAGGCUAAUUCGACCAACUGUUCAUCACCACCAGCUAGCAUAGUCACCUGUUCAAAAUACAUAAUUCUUCGUAUUAAAAACUUCGACCUGUGCGAAAGGAUUAAAUAUCAAGAUCAACAUGACAGUACAUACCGCCUUCAAGGAAUUAGCAACUAAGCUGGCUGUCUUGCGAUACGUUUUCGUGAGGUAAUGCGCGAAUCUCUCGUUUUCCGUCUCCUUAGAGCCAAGCUGCAUAAAUUCACCCUGCACCAGGUCCGUCACGACCUGGAAAGCACCUGGACUUGUCAAUACUUAUCAUCAGGGUUAUAUCAGGAUCCUAGAGCAUAUAUGGUUUGUGAACUUUACCUGACUGAGCGUGAGGGUGACAUCGUCAUUUUGCAGUUGAGCUAUCAUAAUUGACGCGACUGCCAGAACAUAAUCUCCUGUCAUGGUCACCUGAAAAUCGAGCAACAAAUAAUGGAAACAUACAUUAAGAUAUUUUUUCAGAGGAUAAGUUUGUUUAAGAUUAAGUAAAAUGAAAUGAUCCGAUCUUUCUCGUGGAAAGUAAUCCUGGCAUUUUAAUUGCUAAAAUGCGUAGUCGCUCAAUAAAGACAAUUAACGAAGAUAA